RNAcentral lists this long non-coding RNA (2184 nucleotides) under Sus scrofa (pig). RNAcentral describes it as "lncRNA (ENSSSCG00045002342.1)". The record is from RNAcentral. Lineage: Eukaryota; Metazoa; Chordata; Mammalia; Artiodactyla; Suidae.
GCCACAGCAACGUGGGAUCCGAGCCAUAUCUUCGACCUACACCACAACUCACGGCAACGCCGGAUCCUAAACCCACUGAUCGAGGCCAGGGAUCAAACCCACAACUUCAAGGUUCCUAGUCAGAUUCGUUAACCACUGUACCAUGAGGGGAACUCCCUCAAACACUCUUAAAAUGAGAAGAAACUAUAUAGAAACCCCCCCAAAAGCAUAUUAUAAAGUGUCAUAAAUCAGUUUCUAAUACCACCCACAACUUUUCGUGGACUUUAUUCUCUCUCUUUAUAGGCAAAAGGCUCAGCUUCACUCCAUUUUCUUGUAUGUAUUUAUGGACCAGUACUGAACCAAAGUUGGUGCUCUCCUGGGCCUUUGUAUACAUCAUGAAAACAGAGCAUUCUUUUCCUCAUCUUUUAUACCUACUUAUCUGCUGUAUUAGUUUCCUGUGGUUGCUGUAACGAUUGACCACAAACUGGGUGGCUUAAAACAUCGGAAGUGUAUUCUUUUAUAGUUGCAGAAGCUUAAAGUCUGAAAUCAGUAUCAUUGAGCUGGAAUCUGUACUCUUGUGAGGCUCUGGGGCAGUUUCCACUCAGAUGAACCCUCUUGUAUGCCUAACCUAUAAACAUGGUGAGAUCAGAAAUGUCUGUGGUUGGAAGUUCCCUUCGUGGCCCAGCAAUUAAUGAUCCUCACUAGGAUCCAUGAAGAUGUGGAUCCUUAACCCACUGAACAAGGCCAGGGAUCGAACCCGAGUCCUCAUCGAUGCUAGUCAGGUCCAUUAACUGCUGAGCCACAACAGGAACUCUGAUGUGUUUUGAUAGAACAAAAAAAAAAAAAUUCAAAUAAGAUGACAGUAGGAGUGUGUAAACACAAAUGCCUCUGGAAUGACUUAGGCAUCGAUCUUAGUAUUUUCUUCCAGUAGCAUUCUCUUCUCAGAUGUGGAAGGAUCCUGCAUUUUUAGAAUCUACUGCCAGAGUUCCCAACACGCUGGUCAGUCUCAAGACUCAAGCAUGACUCAGGGACGGCUUUGAAAGAAAUGCCUAGUAACUAGAUUAGAAAAUAACUAGGUUUAGGAGUUCCUGCUUAUGCUGUCUGUGGCACUGGGAUACAGUUUCUACACCCUGCACAGUGGGUUAAAGAUCCAUCAUUGCGGCGACUUUGGCUGGGAUUUGAACCCUGGUCCUGGAACUCCAUAUGCCAUGGGGUGGCCAAAAAAUAAAAUAGGUUUAAAGGAAUUCCCUGGUGACCUACCAGUUUGGGACUAGACGUUGUCGCUGUUGUGGCUCAGGUUUGAUUCCUUGCCUAGGAACUGCAUACCAUCAGCAUGGCCAAAAAAAAAAAAAAGUUUAAUAAACAAUUAGGAAGCUUUCUUUAAAAUUCUGAAGCACUAUUGGGAGUUCCCGUCGUGGCUCAGCAGUUAACAAACCUGACUGAUUAGUAUCCUGACUAGUAUCUAGGGACUUGGGUUCAAUCCCUGGCGUUGCUCAGUGGGUUAGGGAUCUGGCUUUGCUGUGGGCUGUGGUGUAGUUUGCAGGCUCAGCUCUGAUUCCGCGUUGCUGUGGCUGUGGUGUAGGCUGGCAGCUACAGCUCCAAUUCGACCUCUAGCCUGGGAACUUCCAUAUGGCACGGGUGUGGUCCUAAAGAGACAAAAAUAAAUAAAUAAAUAAAAUUAUCAAGCAUGCUGUGGCACAGUGAGUUAAGGAUCUGACUGCAGUGGCUCAGGUCACUGCAGAGGCAUGGUUUCAAUCCCUGGCCUGGGAAUGUCUAUAUGCCACGGGCAUGGCCAAAAAAAAAUUAUGAAGCAUCAUUAAAAUUAAAAAAAUUUUUUUUGGCAGUGCCCAUGGCAUGUGAAAGUUCCCAGACUAAAGAAUGAACUCAAACCACUGCAGUGACAAUGCUGGAUCCUUAACCCACUCUGCCACAAGAUAAUUCCCAAAAUUAAUGCAUUUAAAGCAUUCUUUUUAGGAGUUCCCAUUGUGGUUCUUUGGCAACGAACCCAGCUGGUAUCCAUGAGGACUCAGGUUAAAUCCCUGGCCUUGCUCAGUGGGUUAAAGAAUUGGCAUUGCUGUGAGCUGUGGUGUAAGUCACUGAUGCACCUCGGAUCUUAAGUUGCUAUGGCUGUGGCCAGCAACUACAGCUCCAAUUUGCCCACUAGCCUGGGAACUUCCAUAUGCUGCACCUGCAGCCCUAAACAAA